GACGAACCGUGCAAACGUUGUUCGGAAUCACUGGGCUUAAAGGGCGCGUAGGCGGCUUCCCAAGUCCGGGGUGAAAUCUUUCGGCUUAACCGGAAAAGUGCCUUGGAUACUGGGAGGCUUGAGGGGGGUAGGGGCAAGCGGAACUUCCGGUGGAGCGGUGAAAUGCGUUGAUAUCGGAAGGAACGCCGGCGGCGAAAGCGGCUUGCUGGACCCCAUCUGACGCUGAUGCGCGAAAGCCAGGGGAGCGAACGGG
RNAcentral lists this ribosomal RNA (253 nucleotides) under uncultured bacterium. RNAcentral describes it as "partial 16S ribosomal RNA". It matches the Rfam family "Bacterial small subunit ribosomal RNA", at positions 524 to 776 of the family's 1533-position model. The record is from RNAcentral.